CAGAAAUGAAAUUGAAGUUUUGAACUCAGAACUGGGUCCACGGAAACCUGCAUCUGUAUGAGGAGAGACUGGAACCCUUGCAAUGUGUCCCCAAGAAGAAAGACUGAGGAGGGCAAUGGACAAGAUGCAGGAGGCGACAUGGGGGCGAAUGGACAUCAAGAAAACCAAAACCGUCCACAAUACCCAUCUUGUAAAAGGAGGAUAUUCAAAAAGAAGAAACCCGUUUUUAUUCAGCAAGUUCGCUUAUUCCACCGUCC
Suricata suricatta (meerkat) is the source of this 257-nucleotide long non-coding RNA. RefSeq lists it as uncharacterized. Lineage: Eukaryota; Metazoa; Chordata; Mammalia; Carnivora; Herpestidae. The record is from RefSeq and is a predicted model, not a curated record. The transcript has 3 exons.